AUGACCCCAGGUCAGUCGAGACUACCCACUGAGUUUAGGCAUAUAAAUAAGUGGAGGAGAAGAAACUUACAAGGAUUCCCCUAGUAAUGGCGAGCGAACCAGGACCAGCCUAGCUUGAGAAUCAGGUGGCUUCGUCACCCGAAUUGUAGUCUAGAGAGGCAUCCUCAACGGUGACCUACAAAGGGAUGCCUGGGAGGGUGAGAGCCUCGUCCGGCCUAGACCCUAUUGCACCACGAGGUGCUGUCAAUGAGUCAGGUUGUUUGGGAAUGCAGCCCAAAUCAGGCAGUAAACUCCGUCCAAGGAUAAAUACAUUUGAGAGACCGAUAGCGAACAAGUACCGCGAGGGAAAGAUGAAAAUGACUUUGAAAAGAGAGUCAAAGAGUGCUUGAAAUUGCUGGAGGGAAGCUGAUGGGGGCUGGCGAUGCCCCGGUCGUAUGCGAAACACUUCUACUGGUCCGCCAAUCGGCUUGGGCAUGGACUGUUGUCGGCCAUGCCGGCGGCCUAAGCCUAGGAGCCCUAGGUGCCUCUGGCAGCCAUCAUUGACACAGCUAGACUCCACGCGCCGCAAGGCACGCUCCUUAGGGUGCUACGCUGCAACGGCCUACGAGCUCCCCAUCUGACCCGUCUUGAAACACGGACCAAGGAGUCGACGUGCGUGCUGAGUCAAUUGGUUCUUAAACCUAGGAUGCACAAGGAAGCUGACAAGUGGGAGGUCUUCACAGGCUACACCACUGGCCGACCCUGAUCUUCUGUGAAGGGUUCGAGUUGGAGCAUGCCUGUCGAGACCCGAAAGAUGGUAAACUAUGCCUGAGCGGGGCGAAGCCAGAGAAAACUCUAGUGGAGGAUCAAAGCGAUACUAGCGGGCAAACCAUUCAUCUAACUUGCGUAUAGGGGCGAAAGACUAAUUGAACCAUCCAACAGCUGGUUCCCUCCAAGUUUCCCUCAGGAUAGCUGGAGCCCAUUAUGAGUUCUAUCGGGUAAAGCUAAUGAUUAGAGACAUCAGGGGCGCAAUGCCCUCGACCUAUUCUCAAACUUUAAAUAGGUAGGACAGCAUGGCUGCUCCAGUGAGCCAUGCCACGGAAUCAGGAGCUCCAAGUGGGCCAUUUUUGGUAAGCAGAACUAGCGAUGUAGGAUGAACUGGAAGCCGGCUUACAGUGCCGAACUACGCGCUAACCUAGAACCCACAAAGGGUGUUGGUCGAUUAAGAUAGCAGGACGAUGGUCAUGGAAGUCGAAAUUCGCUAAGGAGUGUUACAUAUGUGAUAUACAUAGUAAUGUAUAAUGUUUUUGCAAAAUAAAUUGGGUGUACAUUUGUACACCCUAGACCCAUGCUAUGGCCACCCCUGUCCCUAUGUAUGUAUAUUGGAAUUGAGAUGAUAAUAGGAUGGAAACUUUAUCUAAUUGUUGAGCUGUACCAGUGGUGUACUGGUUAUGUCCAAUGUACAUCUCUUUUGCCUUAGCUAUGUAAUAGAUCAGACCAGUAGGGAGAAUCUAUCUUGUGCAAAAAGGAACUCACAAUAUAAGUGGAACAUCUAGGCAAUAGGGCCAUGCAUAGAUCGGACUAGCAGGGACAAUCUAUCUUGUGCAAAAAGGAACACACAAUAAGUGAAACAUCUAGGCAAUAUAGCAUGCACAAACAUCUAGGCAAUAUAGCAUGCACAACAUCUAUGCAACCGUAUAAACAUGACCAGAAGCAAGGGAUGUACAUCAGUACAAGAAUGCAGACUAAUUAGUUAAGUCCCAAGUUGCUAGUCCAUCAGUCUGGCUACUACUAAACACCAUUGGUUGCAUAUAGGCCGUUUUAAGGAUCUGGAGUGAAUCUAGGGGGAUGAUAAUAAGUUCAACGCUGUCCUCACACUUCUUGAUAUCGAAACUGUAGAAAGACGACUGCACACGCAGAUUGUUGUGAAGAAAAUAUUGCUUCCACUAUUUUUUGUCUAGCCAAAUGCGGUCGCCAACUGGUUGUCGGUUCCAUAUACAUAAGACUAUAUUGUGUGGCAAGCCUCCCAGUUCCAUGUGUAACUUGAAGACACCUGUGGUCACGUUGUCCUCAUAGAACGUCUUCAGCUUGUUAUAAAAUGCCUUACAAAGGUACUGCAUGUAGAAAGAAUAAUUAAAAUAUGGAAUGAUAAGCUUAAGAAUCGUCUGACUCAUUUAGGGCAUACUUACAAGUUGAUAUGCGCCUUUUUAUUUUUUUUCCUUCAGGACCAGAAGAUUUUGGAAUCUUAUAAAUGCAAAGCACCACAUUGUCUAGCUAACACAUCAAAACCUGCUUAAGGUUUUCGCAAAGUGUUAUACCCUAAGUGACAGCAGGCCCCUUCCUGAAGGCUCAUCAAUCUGGACCUGCUUUGGUGAUGCAGCUCCAGGCUCAUCAAUCCCCUUUCUGCUCACACCAAUCUUCUAUUGCAUCGUCAAUCUAAUUGGAGCUCAAGACUAUGCCCGCCUCCGAUAGAUCUUCUGUCUGAACUGGCCCUAAUGUGGCUCUAGGCACACCAUUUGCUGAUGAAUUGUCACCUAGUUUGGAACUCCA
RNAcentral lists this ribosomal RNA (2529 nucleotides) under Saccharum spontaneum (wild sugarcane). Its description in RNAcentral is "eukaryotic LSU rRNA". The stretch from base 2 to 1441 matches the Rfam family "Eukaryotic large subunit ribosomal RNA". The record is from RNAcentral. Lineage: Eukaryota; Viridiplantae; Streptophyta; Magnoliopsida; Poales; Poaceae.